Molecule: RNA transcript, 8237 nt
Organism: Eupeodes corollae
Lineage: Eukaryota; Metazoa; Arthropoda; Insecta; Diptera; Syrphidae
Gene: nmo
Gene name: serine/threonine-protein kinase NLK
Exons: 8
Source: RefSeq, a predicted model, not a curated record
AAAAAAAAAGAAACAAAAACUGGAAAUACAUUUUCCUUCUCUGUUCGUCCGUCUGAAGUCUGUAUGAAAAAUUCUCUUCACACAUUUUUCAGUGGUUGAGUGUCAUACCGUGUGUGCAGUAGUGCAAUAACAGCUGAUAGACAAAAAGGAAAAAAAAAUCGUGAAAUUUUGAUAAUUAUUACAAGCGAAGCGAACCAAAAGCAUAAAUUAAUAAAAUUAAACAAAUAUCUAACACGCACUCUUCUCCUAAUCUAAUUCAAUUGAUUUACCGUUAUUCUGGCUCAGAAACCAACUAAAAAACAAACAGAGUUUUAUGCUGUCUGCUGCACCACAAUACACAAUAAUUAUCCAGUCUUUCCUUCUUUCCAUUGUCUCAUCAAUCGCGCUGUUGUCUUGCUUAGAGCCUAUGGACUGCCUACCUACGGGGAAACAAAAAACAAAAGUGAACAUAUGAGUGAAAAGUUCUUAAGAAAAUAACUUUGUUAAUAAUUAAUUAAAGGAAAUUGCUUAAGGAUUUAUUGUUGUUUUAAAAUCACGACCACGGGAUUAAGGUGUGUUUUGUUUUAUUACCCCGAGCGCCGGGAAAAGUGUAAAGCAUCAAAAUCAAUUUUCACGAACAAAAAAAACCAAAAAAUAAUGUCAAGUGAUUGUGUUGGUAUCGGAGAAGUUUUCAUAUCCGCACACAAAUGUAUAAUAAUUAAAAGAGAGUGAGAAUUGACAGUUUAUUUUGACAUUUAGUUUGGUGUAAUAAUUUUUCCCCUUAAAAACGCCUAUUUUCUGUUCUCUUUGUAAAGAGCCUAAAGAGAGAGAGAAAUCAUUAUUGUUUGUGUUCGAUUUGGGAUUUCAGAUUGGGGAAAAAGUCAUUGUCCUUUUUUUUAGGCUUUGCAGCGAGGAUUUUCUUGUAAUUUCGAUUGUGUUCAAUAAACAAGGAUAAUAAAUUAAGUCCUCUUAAAAUUAAGGGGAAAAGUGCGGGAGAUACAAAAUUAAAAAACGAAUAUUGUUGAUAAAAGUGGUGUUUGGAGAGUUUUUCAUCCCGUAGUUUGUAACGGUGCAGUUGAACUUAAUUUAUGCAACUUUAGCAUCAUCAGUAAAUUGUCUAGCAUCCCUUUAUCCCGUUUAAAAUCUGUGUAAAAAAAAAAGAAAAAAAAAAAAAACAAAGCAAAUCAAAGAGAGUGAGAGAACUCUGCAGUGAAUAAAAAUUCAAAUAAAAAUAAAGAAAGUCUCCAAAAACAGGAGCUGCUGCUGCUGUUUGCAUUUCCCCUGCAUUUUUUUGUUUGUAACAGUUACAAAUUUUUAUGCGUACGUUGAUUUUAAAGUGAGAGAGAGGAGCAGAGGAGAGUUUGCCCUGUUUGUGUGUGUGUGUAUUUUGUGUAAUUUUAUUUUCGGGAGAGAAACUCGGGGAAAAUUUGAAUUUUCUUGUAACAGGAUCAUUCGCUCUCCGAAUCUAGAACCGAAGAAGACGCGUUUCUGUUGUACGGCUACGGGACACUGACCGUUAAAUUACCGGUGAACAAGCAAGAAAGAAAAAUACAUAAAUUGAUUACCUACCUAUCUACAUUGUUGUAAUUUCCAUUGGCUUGAGAUUUAAAUUUAGUGAAUUAGCCUAACUUCCCUCACUUAACUUCGCCCGGUGCGUGUUCGACGAGCUUUUUUAAGCAAAUGCUUAAUUAAUUAAAUGGAUGUGUGUGCAAUUUUUUGAAAAAAUAGAAAAAAAGGAAAAAUCAAAAUACCAAACCGAGUUGAAAUAUAUUUUGUUUUUUUUUGGGUUGAUAUCCUGUCGUUUAAUUUAGUUUGAUUUUAUUUUCUGUUUGUGCAAUUAGGUUUCUUGUUUUUGGUAUCCAUCGAGUCUCCAGAAGUGUCAGUUAAGUUAAGUGAAAAUUAGUUUGAGUUUUUCUCUUUUCCUUUUGUUGUUGAUUUAUUCAAAGUGAAAUUAAUAAAAAAGAAAAGGUGUGCAAUCACCAGUGUUAAAUUUUUUUUAAAUAAAAAUAAAAAAGUUAAUUAAUCAAAACUUCUAAAUAAGUAAAAUAAAUAAAGAAAUUAAAAGAGGAAAAAAUUAAAGAGAGUGUUUUUUAAAACACAUCGUUUUUAAAAUUUUAUGGAAUAUUGCUGAUGGCGGCCGUUGGUGGCCCCGCUAAGCAAUCCCGGGUUUCGAUGAGCGUUUCAAUGUCAUUGGUUCAAGGUGGCGCCGCCGGUGGAGCACCUCAGGGUGCUAUAUUAGCCGCUGCAGCUCCAUAUUAUCAACCUCCAGCUGUUCCACUCGAUGUUCAACCAGAUCGUCCAAUUGGUUAUGGUGCAUUUGGUGUCGUAUGGGCCGUCACAGAUCCAAGGGAUGGACGACGAGUUGCACUCAAAAAAUUACCAAACGUUUUCCAAUCGUUGGUAUCAUCAAAAAGAGUUUUCAGAGAACUGAAAAUGCUUUGUUUCUUUAAACAUGAAAAUGUACUCUCAGCAUUGGACAUAUUACAACCACCUCAUUUGGAUUUCUUCCAGGAAAUAUAUGUGAUAACUGAACUCCUACAGUCAGAUCUGCACAAGAUCAUCGUAUCGCCACAACACCUCUUAGCCGAUCACAUAAAAGUAUUUUUGUAUCAGAUAUUGCGUGGCCUAAAAUAUCUGCAUUCGGCCCGCAUUCUUCACAGAGACAUAAAGCCAGGAAAUUUGCUUGUAAAUAGCAAUUGUGUCUUGAAGAUAUGCGAUUUUGGUUUAGCUCGAGUCGAAGAACCAGAUCAAUCGAAACACAUGACUCAAGAAGUUGUCACACAAUAUUAUCGUGCUCCAGAAAUUUUAAUGGGUGCCCGUCAUUAUUCGGCAGCUGUUGAUGUCUGGUCGGUUGGUUGUAUUUUUGGUGAGCUAUUGGGUCGUCGUAUAUUGUUUCAGGCACAAAAUCCUGUACAACAAUUGGAGCUCAUAACCGAACUGCUAGGUACACCAUCAAUGGAAGAUAUGCGACAUGCGUGUGAAGGUGCCAGAACGCAUAUGUUGCGACGAGCUCCAAAGGCUCCAUCGUUUUCAGCUUUGUACACGCUAGGUUCACAUGCGACACAUGAAGCUGUGCAUUUACUUUGUCAGAUGUUGGUAUUUGAUCCUGACAAGAGAAUAUCAGUGACAGAUGCUUUGGGUCAUUCAUAUCUGGACGAAGGACGUCUAAGAUAUCAUUCGUGUAUGUGUAAAUGUUGUUUUAAUACCUCAUCUGGUAUGCGACAGUACACUGGAGAUUUUGAACCAUCAGCUGGACAGCCAUUCGAUGAUCUUUGGGAGAGGAAAUUAACGUCUGUGCAACAAGUUAAAGAGGAAAUGCACAAAUUUAUAGCGGAGCAACUACAAACCGGACGUGUUCCACUUUGUAUUAAUCCUCAAAGUGCUGCAUUCAAAAGUUUUGCGAGCCAAUGAGAUAAUCUACUAGUACCACUGCUGCUGUUGAUGUUGAUGCUGAAAUUUGAAUUGUUUAAUUAAUACAAAAAAUAAAGAAAUUAAACAAAAAAAAACUUACAUGAAUGUCUAUAGUCAACGUAAAAUAUUACAAACAAAACUAAAAUAAAUACAUAAAUAUUCAAAUAAUGAAGAAUAAAAAUACAUUUUAUACUGCACAAUAUAUUUAAACGUAAAUCAAAUAUAUAUAUAUAUAUAUGAAUAUAAAUGUCCUGCUGCCAUCUUUAAAUUGCAAAUUUCUACCAAUGGUUAUCAACAGUCAAGUUCAGUCUAAUUAAAAUUAAUAAACCAAAAUAAAGUUACUCUAUCUCUAUGUAUCUCUGUCACGAUCGAAUCAUCGAUAUACAUAUAUAAAUUAUUUCAUCCUCACGCGCAAUCAAUGGGCAUUCAGAUUAAAAACAGAAAUAGUUCCACCGUCGCCCAUCCUUCAGAACUGCCUCCAUCGCCACAUCAAUGGGAAUGACGGCAAAAUGAGGCGAUAGCUGCCUAAAAUAAAUUACUUUCUGCCAAAAUAAAAUAUUAUUUUAAUUCUUAACUUUAACAUUAAUAAUAACAAAGAAAACAAAAAAUUAACAAUUUAAACAAAAAAAACAAAAAAACAAUUCAUCGUUAUUAAGUUUAUAUAUCAAGAAAAUAAAAAUUGAUAAAUAAUUUAAAAACAAAUUAAUUGGACAACUUUAAAAUUGAAAAAUAAAAUUAAGUAAAAUAAAGAAAAAUCAUUCCACCAUGGUAUCGAAAGAGAAAACUACUACUCACAACACACUAGUCGCUGAAAAAUAUAUAAAGCAGAACUUAAGUUAUAUAAGAAUAACAACAAAUAAGGAACAAACAAAAGAAAAUUAAAACUUACCACUAAAUGGAGAAGCACAACAACAACAACAAAACUCUCACCCUCGAUCGAUCAUCUCGUAAUUUGUUUGCCAAAUUUACCUCAAAAAAAAAACAAAAAUAAAAAUAAAUUUUAAUAAUUUGUUAAAACAAUUAAAAAAUAAAUGAAAAAAAAAACAAAAAAAAACUUAAUUUUUAAAGGACUAAUAAACAAGUAAUCAAUUUUUAAACAAAACCAAAACAAAAAAAAAAACAUAUGUAUGUCGUCGUCUUUGUAUAAUAAAAACAAAUCACUAAGAAAAACUUUUAAUAACAUUAUAAUGUCCUAUCUAUAUAUAAAUAUAUAUAUUUAAUUUUUUUUCUUAUCGAAAAAAUAAUGUAAUACUUGAAGAAUUAAUUUCUUAUACAAAAACAAAAAACUAUAAAUAAAACUGUAAUGUAGUUAUAGUGGAACAAAAAAAUUAAAAUUAACAUGUUAAUUCUUCGUUAUUGUGAGGUGUCAGUAUAGUAAUAAUAAAUUAGUAACACAUUUGUAACUAUUAAACAUUAAAAAAGUACACACAAAAAAAAGAAGUUUUAAAUUAAGAGAAUUAAAAAAAAUUAACACAUUUUUGGCGAGAAUUAAAAAAAAAAAGUAAUUUUCAAUUAAAACAUGUAUUGUGUGAAAAGAAAACCACAAACAAAAUUAUUUACUAUGAUUUGGAAAAACAAAAAGAAAACAUUUUACUUAUCUAUGGACUGAUUUCGAUUUAGUUUUAAAUUUAAAUAAAACAAUUUUAAUAAAACUUAUGUAUGUAAUAACAAAACAUAAGAUAGAAAAUAUCUUAACCAAAAGAAAAAUGAAAAUUUAAAGAAAAGAAAACACAAUCUACGAUGUGUAUUUAUAUAUAUUUUUUUAUUAUAUAAAUGAUUCGUAUAUUUUUUACGUAUUUUCUUUUAUUUAUGUUAAUUUUAUUAUAAAAACAAAAUGCAAUUCAAUUUUGAUUUUGAAGGAACCAUUAUAAAUUUAAUAUUCUACAAAUUUUAAUUAUGUAAAACUUAUUGUUUGGUACUCAAAAAAAAUAAAUCUAAAGGAAAAACAAAACUAAAAUAAAUAAAAGUUGUCCUAAUAUACAAAAAUAAAAUAUUUAUUUUGCGUCUCCAAAUUUGAUUGAAGAAUUGAAACACAACAAAAAAAAACCUGCAUCAUGUUCAGGCUAUUCAAAAGUUUGUAAUUCGAGGUCGAAACAAUAAACUUCCCAAUUGUUCAUUUUUCUUGGAACUUCCUUAACUUGAGUAGCUUCAACAAACUAAAUAUUCCCAAUCCAAGUAUUGAAAUUAUGUAUUGACUUAUAAGAGUUAGUUUAGUUAGUUUUGUGUAACCUUAACUUUCCAUGUUUUUGGUGAAAAAUGUUGCUUGCACUUAAAACAAUGUAAAGAAUAAAUUAUACAACUAAGAUUGUUUGGUUAUAAUCAGUUAGGUUACAAACUCAACUGAAAGAAACUUAUUAAUAUUUUGUACCACAAAAACCUAAUUUUUGUUAUUAAAUCCAAACAAAGGUCCAUGAUGCGUUAUUCAACAACUUAGAUCUGAUUUAUUAAAGUUAUUAUUUUAUAGGAGACAAUGAAAUUUAAAUUUCAUUCUCGUGGCAAGUGAAACUGAACGAAAAGCUAAACUAUUAAAAUUUCCUUCAUUUUAUAUUGCUCAGUGAAAACGAUAAAACUAGCUUCGUUUCAUUUCUGUUUGAUUUGUGUCAAAAAAGAUUGGUAUUUAAAUAAAAUUUCAAAGUUUUUCAACAGAAAAUUUAUACUUUUUGCUUAGACGCUAUGAAAAUCAAAUCGAAUUCUAAUUAAAUUUCAAACUAACUAAGGUCAACCAAUUUUCCCAAGUCUAAAAUAUCUUAGAAUGAAAUUUCUUACUACUUUUAUCUUUCAAUAUUUAAAUUAAAAAUAUGUUUCUGGUUCCUCUUUAAAUCGCAUUAUAGAUAUAUUUUUAGUUAAAUUUAAUAUUUUCAUUUUUAUAAUAAAACAAAUUUGAAAACAAAAAAGAACUGUACAUUAUUACGUAAUCGUACUAAACAAAGUGGACACACUGCCCCAGUGAAAAAUUAUUUUUUAAGUAAACAAAAUUUACAUUUUUUUUCUAAGUUUUGAAAAAAAUAAACGAAAAGAAAAAUUUCUUUUUUUUUAAAUUUUAUAUUCUUUAAAAAAAACAAAUUUCAUCUAAUUUUGAAUAGCACAAGCAUUACAAAAAAUUUAAACAUUUUUAGAUUUUAAAAAGAGCUAAAACACAAUUAAAACAAAAAGAAAAAACUAAAAUUAAUAGAAAAUAAAAAUCAAUUAAACUAUUUUUAAGACUGAAUUUUAAUUGUUUGUGUUGGUUUUAUUAUUAUUAUUUUAUUUCUUUUUUUAAUUUUUAUAUUUUAGUCAUGAUUUUGAAUUUAAGAACGAAAAAAUUAAAUGAAAAGAUUUGUGUCUCUAAAUAUCUUAAGAAAAAAAGAAAAAUACCGAGACGAUUGAAAAGAAUAGUAAUUUGUGGGUAUAAAAUGUUUAUAAUAAUUAUACCAAUAAAUUAAUGUAAAAGAAAACAAAACUACAAUUUGACAUAUAAAUUUAUAACAUAAUAAUAAUAAUAAUUAAUUGAUUAUUACUUGUACCUAAAUAUAGUGUGUCUUAAAUGAUAAUAUUCAAAUGCUUACAUACAACACAAAAAUAAGAAAAAAACAAAAACAAUAAAAUAUAAUUUUCUUUUUUCUUACAUUGCUAAAAAAUCACUUCUUGUUGGUAGAAGUUUUUUUUUUAUAAAAUUAUUUUUCUAUUUCGUUUUUCUUCAAUCAAAAUUUCACAAAAAUUUCAUUGUUUAGUUUAUUUUUUCUUUUUAUAUUUAGAUAGUACAAAAUUUCGACUCUUAGUGUUUAUUUUAUAACUAUCAAUUUAUCUUAAAUGACAAAUAUGCAAGCAAGAUAAAAAAUAAUAAAAAUAUAUCAGAACUGAAUGUAACUUAACAUUUUUUUUAAAUUUAAAACAAUUAAAGCAAAAGAAAAAAUAAAUUUAAAAAAAUCUUCACCAAAUCAUCAUUCUCAUUGUACACUCGACAUUAAUAUUAAUCUCAAUACUUUAUGUGUAAAUAUAGCAAUUAAUAAAUAAAUGUAUUCAUACUCAUAAUUUUUAAAUACAAAUUUAAUAAAAUAAUAACAACAACUUAACAAAGAUAUGUAAGCAAAAAGAAAAACAAAACAAAAAACCGUUAAUUUCCAUUUGAAUUAUUUAAUUAAUAUCAAAACAAUGUAUAACUCAAUGCCUCAGAUUUAUUUAAAAAGAAAACAAACAAACAAGAAAAAACACUGUAAUAAUAUAUAUAUUUAUUUAAAUAAUAUAUUUAGCUAAUACAGAAAAAUUUACAUCUGAAAAUUUAAUAUUUUUUUUUGUUCUUAAUCAAUUAAUAAUUUGCAAAAUAAACUACAUAAAUACAUACAAUCGUAAAACAAAACACUUUUUAUCAAUCUUUCAUAUCGAUCUCAUUACAUGUGCUCUGUUUGGGAAAUUUUUUCACUUUCAAUUGUAUUUUAUUUUUUAACUAAAAUAAACAAAAAGUAAAAACUUUGUUGGAUCAAAAUUAUAUUAUGUAAAUAUAUGUAUCUACACAAUUUUUCUUCUUACAAAAACAAGCAUAAAAAACGUCAUUUAAACAAAUUGAAUACUUUCGUUAAGUGAUGCAAAUUUCUUACAGAGCCAUUAUAAAAUAUUAUUUUAAGUUUAAAUUUCUUUUUUUUUUUCAAAUAUCAAUUAAUUUUUAUAAUGCUCUUAACUUAAUGCUUAUAUAAGUCAUAAAUAUUUUUUGUAUAUAGUCUGUGUAAAAAAACAAUUAACUGAAAACAAAACAAACAAAAAAAAAUCUAGCUUCACACACAACCAACAAUUUAUAUAUGAUAUGAUAUAUAUUAAAUGUUUAACAAACAAAUUAAUUCUAUUUAAGUAUCAUUGGUCAUUUAUAUACAUAC